Molecule: ribosomal RNA, 473 nt
Filed under: uncultured bacterium
Lineage: Bacteria
Description: bacterial SSU rRNA
Rfam family: Bacterial small subunit ribosomal RNA
Source: RNAcentral
AUUGAACGCUGGCGGCAUGCCUUACACAUGCAAGUCGAACGGCAGCACGGGUGCUUGCACCUGGUGGCGAGUGGCGAACGGGUGAGUAAUACAUCGGAACGUACCUUAUCGUGGGGGAUAACGCAGCGAAAGCUGUGCUAAUACCGCAUACGCCCUGAGGGGGAAAGCGGGGGAUCGAAAGACCUCGCGCGAUUAGAGCGGCCGAUGCCUGAUUAGCUUGUUGGUGGGUAAAGCCCACCAAGGCGACGAUCAGUAGCUGGUCUGAGAGGACGAUCAGCCACACUGGGACUGAGACACGGCCCAGACUCCUACGGGAGGCAGCAGUGGGGAAUUUUGGACAAUGGGCGCAAGCCUGAUCCAGCCAUGCCGCGUGCAGGAAGACGGUCCUAUGGAUUGUAAACUGCUUUGUAUGGGAAAAAUCAUCUUACGUGUAGGAUGUUGAUGGUACCAUGAGAAUAAGGAUCGGCUAACUU